CCCUUAGAGUUUGAUCCUGGCUCAGGAUGAACGCUAGCUACAGGCUUAACACAUGCAAGUCGAGGGGCAGCAUGGUCUUAGCUUGCUAAGGCUGAUGGCGACCGGCGCACGGGUGAGUAACACGUAUCCAACCUGCCGUCUACUCUUGGCCAGCCUUCUGAAAGGAAGAUUAAUCCAGGAUGGGAUCAUGAGUUCACAUGUCCGCAUGAUUAAAGGUAUUUUCCGGUAGACGAUGGGGAUGCGUUCCAUUAGAUAGUAGGCGGGGUAACGGCCCACCUAGUCAACGAUGGAUAGGGGUUCUGAGAGGAAGGUCCCCCACAUUGGAACUGAGACACGGUCCAAACUCCUACGGGAGGCAGCAGUGAGGAAUAUUGGUCAAUGGGCGAUGGCCUGAACCAGCCAAGUAGCGUGAAGGAUGACUGCCCUAUGGGUUGUAAACUUCUUUUAUAAAGGAAUAAAGUCGGGUAUGCAUACCCG
Molecule: ribosomal RNA, 477 nt
Filed under: uncultured bacterium
Lineage: Bacteria
Description: bacterial SSU rRNA
Rfam family: Bacterial small subunit ribosomal RNA
Source: RNAcentral